AUUCUAAAAGAGGAAUUAUUUUGUUAAAAAUCAAAGAGAAAGGAGGAAAAUGUUAAGUUAAAGAUAAAAGGUUAUGUUUAAAUGGUUUGGCUAUUAAUGUGGCCUAUGUCUAUGCUUGAUUUAAUAGGCUUUAUGAGGAGGAGUCAAGGACGAUCAUUGUCCCUUGAAGAGAGAAAAUUAAUCAAGUGAUAAAAGGGAAUGGCUAUUCUAUGGAUCAAGGCAGGGAAUUGGUGUUGGGAUAGAAGAGCAUUAUGGAACUAAAAUCACUGUUAUGUUAUGUAAUGUGUUAAUAAUAAAUUUCAUGCUAAGUUGUAAUGAAUUAUGAAUAAUGAUAUGAUGUAAAUUGUGUUGUUAUGACAUGUCCUAAUGUUGAAAUA
Molecule: long non-coding RNA, 377 nt
Organism: Neltuma alba
Lineage: Eukaryota; Viridiplantae; Streptophyta; Magnoliopsida; Fabales; Fabaceae
Exons: 2
Source: RefSeq, a predicted model, not a curated record